CCUCUCGAUGCUUUCACCUCCUCUGCCAAAUUGUUUCUGCAUCAAGAGAGAGGAGCAAAACCACUGUGGGGGGAAAACAGCAGUUAAGGCUCUUCGGUGAACAAGACUGCAGGCUUAGUCCCAAACGUGGCCUCAAGAGGGCUCCCAGCUUCCUUCCAGCAUCCUUGGAUGAGACAGAGACAGCAACCUGGCACAGAGAGAGGAUGAUCACAGCUGUAUGGCUGCUCAAGAAGCAUUGUUUUUCAAUGUGAAAGGUCAAGUGCUGAACUGCUAAACUCUUCUCUAUUCCUAGGCACCUGUGCCUAUGAGAGAUGCAGGUACCUUUGCAGAUCUUGGCCCACAUCAUUGGAGCAAAUGAAUUGAAAGUGCGGGGGAAGGACCCAGUAAGAGAGGACCACUGAAAGCACAUUGGAUGCAUUGGGUAUGGCCUAUUCCCACUGUGAGUGACACUGCUUCUUGCUUUUGAGAAAGAGAAAAGGAAGAGUAAAAGCAAGAGAAACUUCUGAGUCAAGAAAGAAAUGUUUGGACAAAGAGAGAAAGAAAACAAAACAAGCAGGAAACCUUUGAAGGAUGGAUGAACUGAAUGUGAGAGCAGGAGGAAGGCAAUAGCCAUCUUUGGACAAAAAUUACAGAGGACAGCUGUCCCUUCUGCCACUGUGAAGCGGCUCUGGGGUGUAAAUGGAUCUGCUGACUGUGGAUGGAGGGUUGCUGUUUCAGGAGCAACUGCAAAUUCAGACACAUGAGAAUUGAUAAGCUGACACAAGCGGCCUUCCUCUGAAGAGCGGCCUUGCAGAAAGUCUGGGGAACCAGACAGAGGUUGAGAAGGCACCAAAGAGAGAUGGAUGCAAGGUGGCUGUGAGGCCUAUUGAUUCGAAAACCACCUUCCCCACAAAGCAGAGACGGAAAAGAAAAGCAGCAGAGAUUCAUCCAUCUGCUGCUAAGGACACAGAUGAGCCCCCAGCUAGAAAACUACCUAUGGUGAUUCUUGCUUCAGUCCCACCUGAAUACACCUUGGUCAGCACUGAAGUCAUAAAACUUCCAAGCAGUCUGGAACUGCUUCCAGGAACACAGGCAUACUCUGUGGCACAGUCAGAGGUCUCAAACUCAACAGCCCAUUCCUCACAAGAAGCAGAUAAGACGCAGCAGCUGAGCUGCACAGAGGCGGGGAAAGCACUCGUCUCUGAAGAUGAUGACCUUCAGAAGUUAUUGAUGGAAAUCACAGGAGAACUGGAAGGAGAAAAUGAUGUGGACGCUGAAAAGGGUGUGGAUGAGCUCCUUCUGGAACUGUCUGAGAUCACUGACAGCGUGAUACCACAGUCUGAUUGUAAUUUUUAAGACAAACAACAGCAACAACCAAUUAAAACCAACCCUGUUCCUUUUCAACCCUGUUCCUUUCCUUAUUCUGAGGGGACACUUUUUCUGAAACUUUGCAAUGAGUCUUAAAGCAGAGUCAAAC
Molecule: long non-coding RNA, 1456 nt
Filed under: Gallus gallus (chicken)
Lineage: Eukaryota; Metazoa; Chordata; Aves; Galliformes; Phasianidae
Description: lncRNA (ENSGALG00010002718.1)
Source: RNAcentral